This 49-nucleotide transfer RNA is filed under the name Habronattus oregonensis. Its description in RNAcentral is "tRNA-Leu". The record is from RNAcentral. Lineage: Eukaryota; Metazoa; Arthropoda; Arachnida; Araneae; Salticidae.
AACUAAUUGGCAGAAAAAUGCAUUAGAAUUAGAAUCUAAUUAAACUUCA